Molecule: ribosomal RNA, 253 nt
Filed under: uncultured bacterium
Lineage: Bacteria
Description: partial 16S ribosomal RNA
Rfam family: Bacterial small subunit ribosomal RNA
Source: RNAcentral
UACGUAGGUGGCAAGCGUUGUCCGGAUUUAUUGGGCGUAAAGCGAGCGCAGGCGGUUUCUUAAGUCUGAUGUGAAAGCCUUCGGCUCAACCGAAGAAGUGCAUUGGAAACUGGGAGACUUGAGUGCAGAAGAGGACAGUGGAACUCCAUGUGUAGCGGUGAAAUGCGUAGAUAUAUGGAAGAACACCAGUGGCGAAGGCGGCUGUCUGGGCCGGAACUGACGCUGAGGCUCGAAAGCAUGGGGAGCAAACAGG